Molecule: ribosomal RNA, 842 nt
Filed under: uncultured Bacillus sp.
Lineage: Bacteria; Bacillati; Bacillota; Bacilli; Caryophanales; Bacillaceae
Description: bacterial SSU rRNA
Rfam family: Bacterial small subunit ribosomal RNA
Source: RNAcentral
CAAGUCGAGCGAAUCUGAGGGAGCUUGCUCCCAAAGAUUAGCGGCGGACGGGUGAGUAACACGUGGGCAACCUGCCUGUAAGACUGGGAUAACUUCGGGAAACCGGAGCUAAUACCGGAUAAUUCUUACCAACACAUGUUGGUAAGCUAAAAGACGGCGCAAGCUGUCACUUACAGAUGGGCCCGCGGCGCAUUAGCUAGUUGGUAAGGUAAUGGCUUACCAAGGCAACGAUGCGUAGCCGACCUGAGAGGGUGAUCGGCCACACUGGGACUGAGACACGGCCCAGACUCCUACGGGAGGCAGCAGUAGGGAAUCUUCCGCAAUGGACGAAAGUCUGACGGAGCAACGCCGCGUGAGUGAUGAAGGUUUUCGGAUCGUAAAACUCUGUUGUUAGGGAAGAACAAGUACGAGAGUAACUGCUCGUACCUUGACGGUACCUAACCAGAAAGCCACGGCUAACUACGUGCCAGCAGCCGCGGUAAUACGUAGGUGGCAAGCGUUGUCCGGAAUUAUUGGGCGUAAAGCGCGCGCAGGCGGUCCUUUAAGUCUGAUGUGAAAGCCCACGGCUCAACCGUGGAGGGUCAUUGGAAACUGGGGGACUUGAGUGCAGGAGAGAAGAGUGGAAUUCCACGUGUAGCGGUGAAAUGCGUAGAGAUGUGGAGGAACACCAGUGGCGAAGGCGACUCUUUGGCCUGUAACUGACGCUGAGGCGCGAAAGCGUGGGGAGCAAACAGGAUUAGAUACCCUGGUAGUCCACGCCGUAAACGAUGAGUGCUAAGUGUUAGAGGGUUUCCGCCCUUUAGUGCUGAAGUAAACGCAUUAAGCACUCCGCCUGGGGGAGU